AAUAAAGAGCCUGAUUAAAGGGUUAUUUCGAUAAAAUAAAUCAUAUGAAUUUAAUUUCAUCUUUAUUA
RNAcentral lists this transfer RNA (68 nucleotides) under Chrysis iris. RNAcentral describes it as "tRNA-Ile". Lineage: Eukaryota; Metazoa; Arthropoda; Insecta; Hymenoptera; Chrysididae. The record is from RNAcentral.